RNAcentral lists this ribosomal RNA (425 nucleotides) under Klebsiella michiganensis. Its description in RNAcentral is "partial 23S ribosomal RNA". It matches the Rfam family "Bacterial large subunit ribosomal RNA", at positions 1448 to 1856 of the family's 2925-position model. The record is from RNAcentral. Lineage: Bacteria; Pseudomonadati; Pseudomonadota; Gammaproteobacteria; Enterobacterales; Enterobacteriaceae.
GUGUUACUGCGAAGGGGGGACGGAGAAGGCUAUGUUGGCCGGGCGACGGUUGUCCCGGUUUAAGCAUGUAGGCGGAUGUUCCAGGUAAAUCCGGAACGUCACUAACGCUGAGGUGUGAUGACGAGGCACUACGGUGCUGAAGUGACAAAUGCCCUGCUUCCAGGAAAAGCCUCUAAGCAUCAGGUAACAUCAAAUCGUACCCCAAACCGACACAGGUGGUCAGGUAGAGAAUACCAAGGCGCUUGAGAGAACUCGGGUGAAGGAACUAGGCAAAAUGGUGCCGUAACUUCGGGAGAAGGCACGCUGAUGGUAAGUGAAGCGACUUGCUCGUGGAGCUGAAAUCAGUCGAAGAUACCAGCUGGCUGCAACUGUUUAUUAAAAACACAGCACUGUGCAAACACGAAAGUGGACGUAUACGGUGUGAC